Molecule: non-coding RNA, 3370 nt
Organism: Vicugna pacos (alpaca)
Lineage: Eukaryota; Metazoa; Chordata; Mammalia; Artiodactyla; Camelidae
Source: RefSeq, a predicted model, not a curated record
CCGAGACAGACGUGGUCUGACGAGAAGAGCAGGUCCCGCCCUCAGGUGUUUGGGACUCAACUGAGGGUGUAGGUUCCCGCCGUGGGGGCUGAACAGCCCUGAGGUGUGGGGAGACAAAGGGAUCCAAGUCGUGUCUUUCCUGCUUUGGGAAUCGGUGCCCCGGCUGUCUGGUGAGGCAGAGAGAUGGGCCCUAGGGGCCCCUCCCGGCCCCAGUGAGUGUGGUGUCUUGCUCCAGGGUGUCCUGGAGCUACUUUCCUUUUAAAAACAGUGGAACAUCUGAGAAGGGUGUAGACUCUGAGCCCCAGAAACAGGAGCUGAUAGAGAAGAACCAAGUGUGAUGCUGAGUCUGCUAGACAGGUUCCUGGAGCAGGAGUGAAGAGCUCAGGCCCCAUCAUUGGGACACUUCAGUUCAGCAUCUCAGGAGUCAGUCCAUCUGUGUGGCCCCCACACCCAGGCCUCUUGGCCCAUGGGACAGGAUUUCAUCCCCACCAUCAUCUUCAUGUCCGGUGGGAAGCAUGACACAGCCCAGACUCCACAUCAGGCAAGUUUUCCACCAUCAGUCUUUAAACCCUGGAAAUCCAUCAUCUAAACAGGAGGCUGCUGGUUGAUAUGUGUAGAAGGCAAAGGGUAGACAUUUGACCCUGGAAAAUUUACUUACUCUGUUAAUCUGAGCUUGGCCAUCUGUGAAAGGUGCCUACUAAGGUGCCUACUUCCAGGCUUCUUGUAAGAAGAAAAGGGAAAAACCUCAAAGAACAUCUGGCAUGUAGUGGGACUUUGAGAUAUAUUACUCCCAGCCCAUCCUACCACCUCUGUCCCAUAAAACAGAAGAUUUGAAACAGCAUCUGGAAUUGUAUCAGCAAGAAGUGAAUUUUGGUUCCAUCUCAUCGUUUCUUUUUUUCCACAUGCUUUCCUGUCUCCUUAUUUUCAUUCUAGUUUGAUAUGAGUGAAGCAAUUUUUAUUGAGCUCCAGGAAGAAGAAAUAGUACAGAAGAGAAAGAAAAACGGGUCUGCUAGACAGAAGAUGGGAGUCAUCAAACGCGUCCCAGUAGCCAGACCCAUCAACUGAGUGCAGGACCUUGGGUGCUGGCUACCUGAUGGAAAGGAGGAAGGAAGAAACAUAAGGAGAACAAAUACACAUUCACAUCUCAACACUGUGACCUGCCAUAUAUGCCUUCCUUACCAUGUGUAUUCUCUUGCAGAGCUACUAAAAUGGACACAGCCUUUUUUUUUUAGUUUAUGUGCUGUAGGGAGCACUAACACAUUCUGCAGAUACUAUUUUCAGCCUUUUUUUCCCUGAUGUCUUCAAAGUCUUAGUUUCCCAAGUGCCAUCUAGCUCAAAAUAAUUUCUCAGUAUAUCCUUAAUAUAAAAUAUCUUUCCAUUUGUCCAGGCCUCAUUUACUGGCUUUCAUUCACAAUUACUCAUGUAAGCCUAUGUAUCCAGAACCUAAUCUGUAGUAUCCUGGUGAAAGUUAGUUCUUCUGUGUCCGUAUUAUUACCCAUAUUCAUUGAUUGGCUUAAGGAUGCAUCCUAUUUUGAACUUGAUCUGAUUUUAUAUUGCAAGUACUGGCCAUGCAUAUAUUUUCCUUUCCUUUUAUUGUUUUUAAUUGCACAAGAAAGGUAAUUCAGUGGUGUUUUAAUAUGCCUGAUUGCUUCUGAAUGAGCCUGUGACUAAACUUUAACCCUGAAUCCCACCACUUAAGGGUUAUCCCCUCUGGAUGCUGUGGAACUGAGCUCUGGGCCAUCUCAUGCAGGCCCUCACCCUUUCCCUCCCCUGUGGCAUUCACUGCUUGGCUAACUGGGAGGUUAGGCUGAUGAGCCUACUUUUAAUUUAAGGAGAUUUAUUUGGGAGAGUACAGAAAGAAAAAUGUUGUGAAACUGCUUUUAUCUAAAAUCCAGGAAAGUGGAGACCAUCUGUUGAAUAUAAGGUUUAUUUGAGAGACAUGCUUGCCCUUCCCCUAGGCAUUUAUAUUUUCCCUGAAGCUGCUAAAUGGGGACUGUCAUGUGGAUAGAUUCAUGAAUUAGUUUCAUAAUCACCUUAUUAACUAAUUCCCUUGGUUUAGGUAUGUUCUUCAGCUGACACUGACUCACUUUCCUAUGGAACACCUGGGGAUAUUUAUUUUUUCUCUUUAUCCUUUUCACUUCAAAACUCAGGUGUUUUUGUUGUAGAUAAAAGUGGGAAAUGCAGGAAAGGUAAACAAAAAAACUUAGAAACCCUUAAAAGUCUAUUACUCAUGGAUAAACACGUUUAAUAGUUGAAUAUAAUGUUUUUCAGAAAACAAGACCUACCUGUAUGUUGUCUACAAGAAACCCACUUUAAAUACAAAGAUUCAUAUAGAUUAAAGGUAAAUGGAUAAAGAAUAUUCUAACAUGCUAACGCUAACCAAAAGAAAGCAGGAGUAGCUAUUUUCAUUUCAGACAGAGCAUACUUCAAAGCAAGGUAAGUUAUCAGAGAUAAGUAAAGGCAUUACACAAUGAUCAGAGAGGUCAAUUCUGCAAUACAUAACAAUCCUUCAUGUUUAUGUGCCUAACAACAAAGUGUGAGGCAAAAAAAUGUGAGGCAAAAACUAAUAGAAUUGUGAAGGGAAGAUUGAUCACAUGAUCAUAUCAAUACAUUUGACAAAAGCAUUUAAUAAAAUGUAUCACCCAUUCAUGAUUUUAAAAAAACCUCGCAGUAAACUAGUAAUAGAGGAGAAAUUCCUCACAUCGAUAUUGAAUAUCUACAAAACCCAAUAGCUGGCAUCAUACUAAUGAUGAGAAACUUAAAGUUUCCCCACUAAAAUUAGGUACAAAGUAAGGACGUCCUCUCUCACAACGCCUUUUCAGCAUCAUACCGAAAGUUCUAGCUAAAUAAAAAGAAGAGGAAAUAAAAGUAUACAGAUUAGGAAGGAAGAAAUAUGAUGGUCUUUGUUCACAAAUGACAUUAUCAUCUAUGUAGAAAAUCCAAAAGAAUUAACAACAACAAAAAAUACCCCUUUGGAACAAAUAAACAGUUAUGGCAAGGUUGCAGUAUACAAGGUUAAUAUGCCACUUUCCUAUAUACCAGCAAAAAAAGUAGAGUUUGAAGUUGAAAACACAAUGCCAUUUACAUUAGCAUCCCCCAAAAUGAAGUACUUAGGUAUAAAUCUAACAAAAUAUCUAUAAGAUCUAUAUGAGGAAAACUAUAAAACUCUGAUGAGUGAAAUCAAAGAACUAUAUAAAUAGAGAUAUUCCAGUUCAUGGACAGGAAGACUCAAUAUUGUCAAGAUGUCAGUUUUUCCCAACUUGGUCUGUAGGAUCAAUGCAGUACUCCUAAAAUCCAAGCAAGUUAUUUUGUGGAUGUUGAAAAAUUGAUCCUAAAAUUUACAGUGAGAGGCAAAAGACCCAAAAUAGCC